AUGGCAAAUACUGUAUCUUCCUGCACCACAGCAGCAAGUCCUCCCAUGCUUUGGGGAAGAGCAGAUGUGGAUGCUGUGCUAAUGAUCUUCAUUUGGGAGAAGACAUAUCCAGGAAGGCAAAUUUCCUUCCGCCCUACUGAAGCAGAAAACUGCCCCGGAGAUGCUUCCAGAGAACGAGAUGGAUGCAAUUCAAAAGGGUUUGGAGCUGCUGGGAGGAAUGCUGUCCCCAGCGAUGGAGUGGAAUGGUCCGGCUCAGCCCGGGAAGGCAGGCUUCAUACUGUCUGCACCAGGGUACCCUGGCAGAAAGCGUGCAAGGGAGGAGAACUGAAAUAA
This 333-nucleotide long non-coding RNA is filed under the name Anser cygnoides (Swan goose). RNAcentral's name for it is "lncRNA (ENSACDG00005001539.1)". Lineage: Eukaryota; Metazoa; Chordata; Aves; Anseriformes; Anatidae. The record is from RNAcentral.